This 1001-nucleotide ribosomal RNA is filed under the name Gammarus cf. balcanicus 2CRT. RNAcentral's name for it is "partial 28S ribosomal RNA". It matches the Rfam family "Eukaryotic large subunit ribosomal RNA", at positions 141 to 762 of the family's 3401-position model. The record is from RNAcentral. Lineage: Eukaryota; Metazoa; Arthropoda; Malacostraca; Amphipoda; Gammaridae.
GGAUGUUGCGUAAAGGGAAAGGUCGUAGUCAAACCCCACAGCCACGCGAACUCUAAGUCAGCCACGAAUAGGCUAUCCCAACUAACGGCGGGAAAGACUCCACGGAGGGUGUAAGACCCGUGUGGGCGCGUGUCAAAGCUGUGCGGGCUCGGCCUCUAUUCCCUGAGAGUCGCGUUGCUUGAGCAUGCAGCGCUAAGCAGGUCGUAAACUCGAUCUAAGGCUAAAUAUCUCCACAGAACCGAUAGCGAACAAGUACCGUGAGGGAAAGUUGAAAAGCACUCUGGAGAGAGAGUCAAAAGACCGUGAAACCGCUCAGAGUAUAAGCCCAUGGCAGCUUGGAAGGCAUAUCGCUAGCGGGGCAUCGGUCUUCCUUCGCGGGGAGCUGGUGUUACCUUGCUUUUGUUGUGGCUCGUCAUGGUAGGGGGGUCAAGUCCACAUCCCGCCGUCGUGUGGGGGGUUCUUGGGUGUGUUGUGGUUUCUCGGUUGGCUUCGGCUGGUCGGGGGGCCCUUCGUGCUUGGUUCCUCUUUGGACACGGACGUUCAGACUCAUUGGCAAGACGCGAUAAACAGCCCACCACGGCACGUUGUGAGGUCACCCACAGGCUCGACUUUCGAUCGUGAGCCUUGACGCAGAGCAAGCACAAUGCGUGUCGCUGAGGUUCCUAACCAGGCAUAGGUGCCAGGAUCGUGGAACGACACGCGCUCAACAGUCAGGUUCGGGCGGAGACAGAGUUCUGGUACGAUCCUCUUGCGACGAGCCGGCUUCUGGCCGACAUCCGAUGCUCAGGUCUCCCGCAUGUGCCGCGGGAGAUCGCCUUGACGGUCUGGAUUUGUAUGAGUCCUCUCAGUCGGGCAACGGAUAGAGUGGUGUAAAGUCCAAGCCCAUCGGUCACGUCUCGAAACACGGGCCAAGGAGUAUAGCAUGUGUGCAAGUCUAAGAGUCUCACAAAACUCGAAGGCGAAGUGAAAGCAAGUAAGCGGCGGGUGAUCUACGGAGAGAU